Long non-coding RNA from Thalassophryne amazonica, 93 nucleotides. RefSeq lists it as uncharacterized. The record is from RefSeq and is a predicted model, not a curated record. Lineage: Eukaryota; Metazoa; Chordata; Actinopteri; Batrachoidiformes; Batrachoididae. The transcript has 4 exons.
UCCUCCUGGCACUCACUUAGAAAUUCAAGAUGGCCUCCACAGGUGAUUUUCAAGCUUUAGUUUGUAUAAUGUUCUGACCAGUAAAGCUCAGAG